This 73-nucleotide transfer RNA is filed under the name Cordylochernes scorpioides. Its description in RNAcentral is "tRNA-Thr". The record is from RNAcentral. Lineage: Eukaryota; Metazoa; Arthropoda; Arachnida; Pseudoscorpiones; Chernetidae.
GUCCAGGGAUGGGAAUCGAACCCACAGUGUUCCGCUUACCGGGCAGAUGUCAUUUCCACUAGGCUACCCUGGA